RNAcentral lists this ribosomal RNA (430 nucleotides) under Pseudomonadota bacterium. RNAcentral describes it as "Proteobacteria bacterium partial 16S ribosomal RNA". It matches the Rfam family "Bacterial small subunit ribosomal RNA", at positions 355 to 776 of the family's 1533-position model. Lineage: Bacteria; Pseudomonadati; Pseudomonadota. The record is from RNAcentral.
UGGGGAAUAUUGGACAAUGGGCGAAAGCCUGAUCCAGCCAUGCCGCGUGUGUGAAGAAGGCCUUAUGGUUGUAAAGCACUUGAAGCGAGGAGGAGGGUACUGGUAUUAAUACUACCAGGUACUGGACGUUACUCGCAGAAUAAGCACCGGCUAACUCUGUGCCAGCAGCCGCGGUAAUACAGAGGGUGCGAGCGUUAAUCGGAUUUACUGGGCGUAAAGCGUGCGUAGGCGGCUAAUUGAGUCGGAUGUGAAAUCCCCGAGCUUAACUUGGGAAUUGCAUUCGAUACUGGUUAGCUAGAGUGUGGGAGAGGAUGGUAGAAUUCCAGGUGUAGCGGUGAAAUGCGUAGAGAUCUGGAGGAAUACCGAUGGCGAAGGCAGCCAUCUGGCCUAACACUGACGCUGAGGUACGAAAGCAUGGGGAGCAAACAGG